AUUCAUCUGAAGAGUCCCAAAUAGUACGAAACGUGUAUCCUGGAU
Non-coding RNA from Schistosoma rodhaini, 45 nucleotides. The record is from Rfam. NCBI's taxonomy places the organism in Eukaryota, Metazoa, Platyhelminthes, Trematoda, Strigeidida, Schistosomatidae.